This 492-nucleotide ribosomal RNA is filed under the name uncultured bacterium. Its description in RNAcentral is "partial 16S ribosomal RNA". It matches the Rfam family "Bacterial small subunit ribosomal RNA", at positions 29 to 507 of the family's 1533-position model. The record is from RNAcentral.
AGUGAACGCUGGCGGUAGGCCUAACACAUGCAAGUCGAACGGCAGCACAGUAAGAGCUUGCUCUUACGGGUGGCGAGUGGCGGACGGGUGAGGAAUACAUCGGAAUCUACUUUUUCGUGGGGGAUAACGUAGGGAAACUUACGCUAAUACCGCAUACGACCUACGGGUGAAAGCAGGGGAUCUUCGGACCUUGCGCGAUUGAAUGAGCCGAUGUCGGAUUAGCUAGUUGGCGGGGUAAAGGCCCACCAAGGCGACGAUCCGUAGCUGGUCUGAGAGGAUGAUCGGCCACACUGGAACUGAGACACGGUCCAGACUCCUACGGUAGGCAGCAGUGUGGAAUAUUGGACAAUGGGCGCAAGCCUGAUCCAGCCAGACCGCGUGGGUGAAGAAGGCCUUCGGGUUGUAAAGCCCUUUUGUUGGGAAAGAAAAGCAGCAGGUUAAUACCCCGCUGUUCUGACGGUACCCAAAGAAUAAGCACCGGCUAACUUCGUG